UACGUAGGGCGCAAGCGUUGUCCGGAAUCAUUGGGUGUAAAGCGCGUGUAGGCGGCCAGGUAAGUCAGAUGUGAAAGCUCUCGGCUUAACCGGGAAAGUGCAUUUGAAACUGCUUGGCUUGAGUCUCGGAGAGGAAGGUGGAAUUCCCAGUGUAGAGGUGAAAUUCGUAGAUAUUGGGAGGAACAUCGGUGGCGAAGGCGACCUUCUGGACCGUGACUGACGCUGAGACG
RNAcentral lists this ribosomal RNA (230 nucleotides) under uncultured microorganism. Its description in RNAcentral is "partial 16S ribosomal RNA". It matches the Rfam family "Bacterial small subunit ribosomal RNA", at positions 524 to 753 of the family's 1533-position model. The record is from RNAcentral.